This 1229-nucleotide ribosomal RNA is filed under the name uncultured Bordetella sp. RNAcentral's name for it is "partial 16S-23S ribosomal RNA intergenic spacer". It matches the Rfam family "Bacterial small subunit ribosomal RNA", at positions 11 to 1248 of the family's 1533-position model. The record is from RNAcentral. Lineage: Bacteria; Pseudomonadati; Pseudomonadota; Betaproteobacteria; Burkholderiales; Alcaligenaceae.
GUUUGAUCCUGGCUCAGAUUGAACGCUGGCGGGAUGCUUUACAUGCAAGUCGAACGGCAGCACGGACUUCGGUCUGGUGGCGAGUGGCGAACGGGUGAGUAAUGUAUCGGAACGUGCUGAAGCUGGCGGGGAUAACUACGCGAAAGCGUAGCUAAUACCGCAUACGCCCUUCGGGGAAAGCGGGGACGCUUCGGGCCUCGCACUAUUAGAACGGCCGAUAUCGGAUUAGCUAGUUGGUGGGGUAACGGCUCACCAAGGCGACGAUCCGUAGCUGGUUUGAGAGGACGACCAGCCACAUGGGACUGAGACACGGCCGAACUCACCUACGGGAGGCAACGGUAGAAAUUUUGGGCAAUGGGGAAACCCUGGUCAGCCAUCCCGCGUGUGCGAUGAAGGCCUUCGGGUUGUAAAGCACUUUUGGCAGGAAAGAAACGGCACGGGAUAAUACCCCGUGCAACUGACGGUACCUGCAGAAUAAGCACCGGCUAACUACGUGCCAGCAGCCAUGAUAAUACGUAGGGUGCAAGCGUUAAUCGGAAUUACUGGGCGUAAAGCGUGCACGAGCGGUUCCGGAAAAGAAAGAUGUGAAAUCCCAGAGCUUAACUUUGGAACUGCAUUUUUUUAACUACCGAGCUAGAGUGUGAAAAUCAGAGGGAGGUGGAAUUCCGCGUGUAGCAGUGGAAAUGCGUAGAUAUGCGAGAGGAACACCGAUGGCGAAGGCAGCCUCCUGGGAUAGCGCUGACGCUCAUGCACGAAAGCGUGGGGCAAACAGGAUUAGAUACCUGGUAGUCCACGCCUAAACGAUGUCAACUAGCUGUUGGGGCCUUCGGAGCGCUUGGUGGCCCAGCCUAACGCGUGAAGUUGACCGCCUGGGGAAGUACGGUCGCAAGAUUAAAACUCAAAGGAAUUGACGGGGAUGCACAAGCGGUGGGCUGGGUUAAUUCGUUUGACGAAAACCUUGCCACCACUGACAUUUGGGAAUCCGAGGAGAUUUAGGAUGCUCGCGAGAAUAUAUUGGAACACAGAUGCUGCCGUAGCGAUCAGCUCGUGUCGUGAGAUGUUGGGUUAAGUCCCGCAACGAGCGCAACCCUUGAUGUUAGUUGCUACGAAAGGGAGCACUCUAAUGAGACUGCCGGUGACAAACCGGAGGAAGGUGGGGAUGACGUCAGAUCCUCAUGGCCCUUAUGGGUAGGGCUUCACACGUCAUACAAUGGUCAGGACAGAGGGCC